This is a non-coding RNA of Xyrichtys novacula (pearly razorfish), 245 nucleotides long. The record is from the annotation of a GenBank genome assembly. Lineage: Eukaryota; Metazoa; Chordata; Actinopteri; Labriformes; Labridae.
CAUUAAUCAACCUACAUAGUUUCUGCUUCUUCAACAAUCAUUGCAUUAACUGUGACUGUUUAUCUCUGUUCAUGAUCAGGUGUCAAGCAGACAUGAGUUCAACAUUUGGUAUGCAUCAGGGGUUCGACUAGAAGCAGGAUCAGCGACUGUGGAGAUCAGUUUGAGGUUAACUCUUAGUUCACUUCUUACAGGGUUGAAUCAUAAUAAUAAUAAUGCAUCAGAUUUCAUAGAGCGCUUUAUCAGAG